Molecule: long non-coding RNA, 840 nt
Filed under: Amazona collaria (yellow-billed parrot)
Lineage: Eukaryota; Metazoa; Chordata; Aves; Psittaciformes; Psittacidae
Description: lncRNA (ENSACOG00000008434.1)
Source: RNAcentral
GUUGGCUAAAGAGCCAUAACAGCAUGCCCAAUAGAAUCAGUUCGAAUAACAGGGAUUUUAUCAGGAAAGAAAUUCUCCAGAGGAAGCAUCAUUACUUGGUAGUGAGGCCUGCAGCUGCAUUCCAAAUCCUGUUCCUAGCAUCCCCAGCAGGACAGAGGACCCCGGAGUGGUCACAGACAACAUGAUCCCCCAGCCCCAGAAGCCACGGCUGCGGUGCAGGCACGAGAGCUACGAUGAGAAGUGCGAGCGGCGGCAGGAGAUGCGGGAGAACCUGCGGCGGCAGCACAACGUGACAGCGUGCCGCCACGUCGGGACGGGGACACCGGACCCACUGCAGAGCCCCCGGCAAAGGGAGUUCCUGAGGCGGAGGAACCUGGUGGGUCAUGCUGGAAGGACACCGCCGGGACAGCGCAUCCCCCUGGAGCCCUCUGCGCAGCUGGAGCUGAGACCAUCCAUCCUGCUCCAGCGCCCAUGGAGCUGCCCCACGUUUCCCCCUGCUCUCUCCCCGCUCGGCCUCAGCAUCCCCCGCAGCACUUCAGCAGAAGCCAUCCCCAGGCGAGGUGUGAACACCCAAGGAACACAGACCCUUACAAACCCAAGGGCAGGAGCAAAAGACUCAAGUCAACAGACAGAUUGUGGAAUAGCAGUUUUAAAUAAGGAAAUGGUGCAGUUAUCCAACUACCUCAAGUCCCUGAUGAAGAGUCCCUCAAUGAAUGAAGGGGUGCUGCCUGCCCAAUCACAACAUGGCCAAGGAGUCCUACACAUGAGCCACAGCACACCAAGACCUGUCUGUCCCCGCUGACCAGCUCUCCCCUUCCCCAUAGGAGGCCCUGCACCGCG